AACGAACGCUGGCGGCAGGCCUAACACAUGCAAGUCGAACGCCGUAGCAAUACGGAGUGGCAGACGGGUGAGUAACGCGUGGGAACAUACCCCUCGGUUCGGAAUAACUCAGGGAAACUUGAGCUAAUACCGGAUACGUCCGAGGUUUUAAUCGGCCUUGGAGAAAGAUUUAUCGCCGGAGGAUUGGCCCGCGUCUGAUUAGC
Molecule: ribosomal RNA, 203 nt
Filed under: uncultured bacterium
Lineage: Bacteria
Description: partial 16S ribosomal RNA
Rfam family: Bacterial small subunit ribosomal RNA
Source: RNAcentral